UGCGAGACCGAUAGCGAACAAGUACCGUGAGGGAAAGAUGAAAAGAACUUUGAAAAGAGAGUUAAAGAGUACCUGAAACUGCUGAAAGGGAACCGAAUCGUUUCCAGUGUCUAUAAUCUAUGGCAUAUUUCAUUGGCGUGUGGAUGUGUGCAGCGUUUUGGAAGUAGUUUUCUGCUCCUGUCGUUGUUUUGCGUUCGCCUGCUGGUGCCCUGUGCUGUAGUGGGACGUCAGAGUCAAUUCGUAUGCUGCGGGAAAUGGUUACUGGGGAGGUAGGUCACUUCGGUGGCUGUUAUAUCCUGGUAAUUAGUCGUCGUGGUUGGGAUUGAGGUGCCUACAAUGUGCUUUCGAGUCUGUGGGCCUCUCGUUUGGCCAUUUGCCUUGAUAGCUUGCUAUGUUGGUGAAUGUGUUGAGCGAUUGAGAUCUGUAGUAACUUGUUGCUGUUCGGGACUUUGAA
RNAcentral lists this ribosomal RNA (454 nucleotides) under uncultured Oomycota. RNAcentral describes it as "LSU rRNA". It matches the Rfam family "Eukaryotic large subunit ribosomal RNA", at positions 327 to 629 of the family's 3401-position model. Lineage: Eukaryota; Oomycota. The record is from RNAcentral.